UAUUCUGUUACUUUUGUUUUAGGGACAAGGAAAAGUUUUGAUCACUUGAUAUCAGACACAAAGGCUCCUAAAAGGCAAGAAAUGGAAUCAGGGAUCACAACACCCCCUAAAAUGAGAAGAGUAGCAGAAACUGAUUAUGAAAUGGAAACUCAGAGGGUUUCCUCAUCGCAGCAGCACCCACAUUUACGUAAAGUUUCAGUGUCCAAGAGGAACGUUCUUUUGGAUGAAGAAGUACUUACUGAUCCAAAGAUCCAGGCACUUCUUCUUACUGUUCUAGCAACGCUAGUAAAAUAUACCACAGAUGAAUUUGAUCAACAAAUCCUUUAUGAAUAUUUAGCAGAGGCCAGCGUUGUAUUCCCCAAAGUAUUUCCUGUUGUGUAAGUAUCUUCCGUAUUGAAUUAACCUUUGUACCUAUCUUUAUGUCAAAUGCUUUGUAAGGAAUUAGGGAA
RNAcentral lists this long non-coding RNA (449 nucleotides) under Cavia porcellus (domestic guinea pig). RNAcentral describes it as "lncRNA (ENSCPOG00000037098.1)". The record is from RNAcentral. Lineage: Eukaryota; Metazoa; Chordata; Mammalia; Rodentia; Caviidae.